UGCCAUGUCACUGCCUUGCUGUCUCUCUCUCUCAGAUCACUGGCUCCAAGGGAAGCCGACUGCCAUGUUCUGAGGGCACUCAAGCAGCCUACGGAGAGGCUCAAGUUGUAAGAAAUUGCAGUGUCUGGCCAGCGGCUGGUGAGAAGCGGUAGGUUGCCUAUUACCAUGUGAGUGAGUUUGGAAAUGAGUCUUCAGUGUUUGGAAAUGAUGACUACAGCCCUGGCGACAGCUGGACUCACCCUCAUGGGAGACUCUGGGCCAAAACCAACCAGAAAACUUCCCCCCGGAUUCCCAAACCACGGAAACUGUGAGAUAAUACAUGCUUGUUGUUUUAAGUUGCUAAGUUUGGGGGUGAUUUCUCACACAGCAAUAGAUAAAUUAAUACUCCGUCUUUCGUUUAGAAAUAACUGAGUUUUAACUGCAGUUUUAGCUAACGUUUAAUGAGUUCAAAGGAAUUUUACCUGGGAAAACUGUUCUAAGGCCUGAGGAUUGUCUGUCUUUCUUAAAGUUGGUUUAUACAGGGGCAGUGUGGUUAUAAUCUUAUGUCCUGUCACUCUUCAGGCACUAGAAAGACAGAUGUAUCUGCUACCUUGUGUUAAAUUAAUAAAAUGUAUGAAGUCCUGAAGAAAUAACCCCACUUUCACAUAUUCAGAUACAUUGAGAAAAACCUCUAAUACAGAUUGGGCAGAAUAAAAAAUUGGGAAUUACUUUAAUUUCUAACUUUUAACUCAUAUUGUCAAGAAAAUUAAACUUUAAACAUUAAUUUCUGAAUCAGUAGGUGUGGCCUUGAGCUCCCCCUGAGAAUCUGAGUGCAGACGAGGACUUCUAUUGAAGCUUUCUGGCAUUUUAUUAUUGCAGCACUUAUAUAUUAUGUCUCUUAAUAUUGUUAUUACAUCUCAUUGCAGAACCAGGGAUAUGUUACCUCAGAAAGCAUGGUUGGUUGGACAUAAUGUGGGAUGGGAAACAGAAUAGCAAAUAAACGUUCCACUUUAAAUAGAGUAGCCCUGGAGUAGAUUAAUUAACGGAGCAAAAGACUCAUUCUGGAGCUUUUUCAGGGUAAAAUGUAUCUUUCCCACGAGUGGUCCCAAGAGCAUUCCAAAGGACCCAUGAUUCAUCUUUGAGAGAGAGGUAAGGAAUGGUCAUAGGAACACGAUCUCCCAGGCGCAGAGACCCCUGCCUAACCACACGUAGGCUCAGGAGCUAAGCCAGUGAGGAACAAAACACAACACAGCAGAGCCGGGCAGAGCGCACCCGGGGAUGCUGAGGGGGAGUGCCAACGCUUUCCUCCUCUGAAGGCUGCUCUAUUGAUGUUACUGCAAAACCCGCUCCUUCUCUGCCCCUUUACUCUGCCCUGAGCAGGUGGUGAUUUAUCUGACUGAUAACUUUCAAAAGAAAGAACUGGGCAUGCAGAGCCAGCCCAGUCGUUUUCCCUCUUGAGAGCUCUCGACUCCCGGCUGCCAAUGUUCUCCAUCGCUCCUGGCUGCAGGCUCUCCCCCAAAACCAGUGCCCUCACACAUGCCAUGACUGGGUGGGUAAGGCUGACGAAUCUGGGGUUCAUUUGCCAGGCCCAUUGGCCCUUACAACUAAGCCUUCAUCAGUUUUUUUUUUUUAAGCAACAGUUUGAUUUUCCAUAUAUUUUACUCUUCAUCUUAUUCCUCAAUUUGUUUUGAAUCUGACAAGGAAGAAGGGGGUUAUAUCCCCACCAGGGAAACCAACACUUGUGUCAAAAUUCUAGUAAGGGAAAGGAUUUGGUCUGAAAUGUUCAAAGGUAAUGAUACAAAAUGUCCUUUGGAUUGUAUGUUUUUAUCGCAGUCGACCUAAAUAUGAUUCAGGUGUCCACAGGAUGCCCCUUUGGAAUAUAUAUUUUCUUUGUUUAUGUAACAACAAAUAACAUAGAAAAUGGUAUAAUUAACAGUCAUAUUUAUCCUGUGCUCAAAACUGGAGUUUUGGAGCCAGGCACAUAUGACUUCUAAUCCCAGGUCUGGCAAAUCACAUAACCUCAUUGAGGCCAUUUUUUAAAUUUGUGUCUUCAUGUUCAUCUGUACAAUAAGGAGUAGGAGUUACUCUGGAGGGUUAAUGCAAUGAUUAAAUGAGAUAAUAUAUGCAAAGUCAAGCACAACACAGCGUCUGAUAUACAGUGGGCACCCAACGUAUGGGAGCUGUGGCUAUUAGAUCAUAAAUUCUAUUUUGCUUUGCUCUAUAAUAAUUCACCAAGUACAAAAUCUCAAACCAGUGGAUUUUUCCAUCAUAAGGAAAUUUUCUGAAACUGUAAUUUCCUUAAGAUAGUCUUAUUAUCACAAACAAUUGUUCUGUUAAGCUUGCAAUUAGUAAUAUGCUACUUUAAGCAAAUGUUAGGUUAUCAUCUCUCCUUCUGCUCUAAAUUCAUAAUGUGCCAUUUUAAGGUAAUUCAAGCGUUCUGUCAGCUUUCACCACUUAAUUUGUAUGAAUCUAGGGGCAAACUGAGGUCAAGGAAUAAAGGUCCCUAUGGAUAUGGCUGUAAAAAAUCUUUUAAUACUUUAGUAUUAGAUUUGCUUGUAGAAUGUCCAUGGUACAAUUUAAUAAAUUCUGGUUUUGCUGCCUUAGUAAACAGUUUCUAAUAUCAGUCCAUAAGGAAUUUUUUGGAUAAAUUCAUUUCUUGGUUAAAUUAUCCCAUUAGCUGCACAGUCCACCGUUGCGAGACUCUGCUGUGAACAUGAGACUUUAAUAACUUUGAGUGUCUAAAAUUGAUCUCUGUCCCAGGAUAUGGAUUUACUGCUGCCAAAAAGCUAUAAAAGACGCCUUACCUCAUAUCUUGUGCACAGGGGGAAUCUUUUAGGCUCAGCUUUCCAAACUGGCUCAGAGAUGCUCCGUAAGAUACUUUCCCUGAGCGCCUGUGUGUGCACUGGCUGAUUUUAUAGACUUAAAUUUUUCCACAUUUCCUAGCUUCCAGCUUACUCUCUCUCCCCUCAGAUCCCCAUCUCCCUUCGUUCUGUGCCCCAAAUCCUCCAGCAACUCAAGCCACCCCACAACUUUUACCCAGUUCCCCAGGACCACACUCAACAUAGGGGAGGAAUGGCUUGUAGAAACCAUACAAGCAGUUACUUAAUGAAACAAGAUUGUAUUUCUAGCAAUAUAAGUUCAAUAUAAUGCCAUUAAAAAUGAUAAUAGUAUUCAAACACAGACUCCAUUUUAUGGGAGUGGCUUACCUGUGCUUAUAUAUAUAUUUUUUUAAUUUCAAAAACUAUUGUUACCUGGAAUAAAACAAUAGUUAAAUGUAUAGAUUUAGGAGAUGAACAUUCCCCUCUUAAAGAAGGAAAACCAGACAAAAGAUUUCCUCAUUAAACAUUAAAGAGACUAUAUAAAAGGCAACACACCUGAAUACUAUAGUCUUAACACAUCUUCAACUCUUUUGGUUACUAUAACACAGAACAGAUUUUAUACUUCCCUAGCAAAGUAAAUAAAAUCUUUUCAAACAUUGAGAACAACUCAUUCCCAGAGAUAAGCUUAUUCAUUGAUGGGAACUGGCUAUAUAAUUAUAUCUACUUCUAAGUUCUUUUCAAAAUUUUUAAAAAAUAUACCUGGUGAUUCCAAGUAUAUCAGAGGGUGGUUUAGAGUGAGUCCUGGGUCCAUCCUUGCCUUUCUGCUUAAUAACUGUAUGAUCACAGACAACUUUUCAGUUUCCUCAUUACUGAAAGAGAAUUAAAAAUAGUUUCUACCUCUAGCCGCAUCAGGUUGCUGUGAAAAUUAAAUGAGAAAAUGGGUAGUGUAAUUAGUACAGUACCUGGAAUAUAGUAAAUGCUCAAUAAACGUUAGCUCUUAUCAUCAGAGAAAGGGAAUGUAUACUUAUUUGUAAGAGUUUAUCUAAUUUACUCAUGUAUUGGCUAUAUUGAAACAGAAUUUUUUCUCAGUUUAAUUUCCUUUGAACACAGUUGUUCUACAAGCUCAAACAUGUACACGGAAUUCUUCCUGACAUUUCAUUACUCUUACAUUCCUUGGGCUAACAGCAGGCUUUUAAUCUCAGCCAGAUUUUCACGCCUUGAUCAUCUUAAAAUAUUUGCUGAAACUAGUAUUCAAAGAAAGUAAUGUAGUGACAUUAACAUGCUUUAGAUAGAGGUUUUCAUUCCACACAGUAUGGAGAAAAAAAUUUGAUUGGACCAUUUUCAACCUAAGGCAAAUUUGGAACUAUAUCGAUUUAUUUUGGAGCUCCCUAAAUAGCUUCCUUGAUAACAAAUUUGUGCUUAACUUUUAAAGUUAAUCAAAGCAAUAUCAUUUUCCUAGUAGUACUUAAUUUUUUUUCUACUUUUUUUUUUUCUGUUCAAGAUCUUGGGUCUCACAGGAAAACAAAAACCAAACCAAACCAAACCAAACAAACAAAAAACCAAACAAACAAAAACUUCUUCCAUUUCAACCAAGUACUCUUUAUUCCCUGUGGACUAGACAUCUCAUUUUAACUUCCAUAUUUUUCUUCUCUGUUAUCUUCAUACUAGAACCAUUUAAUGUCAUAAAAGAUGUCCUUUAUAUGUACUUUCCUUUCAAUUGUUAAACAAACCCACCAUUCUUGUCACUGUUCUCAGAAGAUUCACGCACAAGUCUGUUAUUUCACUUCCGAGGAGACAUGAAUCAUACCAUGAAAUACUGUCACUGACAUUUUAAUCUUGGCUAUGGGAGAAGUUGAUCUUUUCCUCUUAGAUUUUCUCCUCCUUGGGUUCUUCUUCAAUCUUCUAGUUAAUUCUCCAAUUAAUCUGCAGUGGAAAAUCAUUGCUAUUGCUUUAUAUUUCUAGAGUACGUUAUUUAAAUCUCUAGUUAUGCUGCUAACGCAUAUGACUUGGUAUUAUAGUUGGCUUGAUUCAAGUUCACCUGCCCAUCAGAUUACAGUCCCCGUCAGUGUAGGUGCAUUGCUAGAAUCAUUACAUUUCUUACAGCCCUUGCACAUAAUUUGAAUAUAAUAGGCACUUAUCAAAUGUUAACUGAAUUGAAUAUCAUCUCUGAAAUGAAUAUUACUGAUUCAGCCACUUAUAUUUCUUGGUCACAUACUACAUGCCAACCACUCUGCAGUCUAAUUGUGGCCCUAUACAGCUAGUGCUCUAACAGUAGUACAUUAUGUUGCUCUUUCUUGAAUCUCAUCCUCUUUUCGCCGAAAAGUAUUGUUAUCCUUUCUUCUCAAAAAAGGAAAAAAGUGACUCGGAGAGGCUGUGCAAGGCACAGUGGCAAAGUUGAAUAAUGAAUGAACUUGAUUUUUAUACACACCUCUAUUCAAGUGUUCUAGAUGAUAAAUUUGGCAACCUGAACACUUUGUAUACAUUUGUACUAGUUGUAACAUUUUGAAGCCAAAGGGUAUCAGGUUACUGGUUACCCAGUUUUACCUUUGAAUUUUUCAGGUGUAAUAUUAUUAGAAUUUAUUUCUUAAGAAUUUUUGAAUAAUGUGACUAAGCAAGGAGAAUUUGAAAUAAAUUUCUUUCACCUUGUAUAUUGUUUAUCCUACUUAAAAUAAAAGCAUAUUAGAAACUUGACCAACUAAUGCAAAAUCUGGAUGCAGGUAAGGAAACUUCCCUUCAAAAUGGCAGAAACCAAUGUCAUAACACAAUGGAUGCACAUAGCUCCCAUAGAUAAGCCCCUACUAUACAAAAUGCUGUGUACUAAUUUAUCUACAGCCGAAAUGUUGGUUUUCCCUCAUGAAAAUACUGCUCCCAAAUUCCACUCUUUCUGAAAAACAAUUAAGCUGUCAAGUUUAAAGUUUUUCGUUCAUAAUUUAGACUGUAUCCUGCCAUUGAUAUUUAUUUUAAUCUCCUAUUGAUUUCUGUGGGAAUUCUUGUAGAAUUAAGGCAGGAUAUAGCCUCAAAGGAAUUUCUGCUAAGAAGGUUCCCACUUUCAUCUCUUUGUGUUGGAUUUUUAUUAAGUUUAGGUCAUGACGUUGUAUAUUUAAAAAUAGGCCUACAGGCUAAAGCUAUGAUAAAGUCUUCUAUUUUUGUAUUUAGGCUGAAAGGUCAAUGAGAAGUCUCACAGGGAAGAACAGUGUUAUAAAUUAUUUUUAACAUGUUUUGGUCCAGUUUCUAAAAAAAUCAAAAAGCAUUUAUAUUAUUUUAAAAUGUCUUUUUCACUUUAUAUAUCCCCAAAUGUCUAUCUCCCAUGAGAUUUCUUUUUAAAAUACCCAUUCAAACCAUGUUUAAAACAUUUUAAAACACUAGAUAUAAUAUUAGACAGUCAUUUAAAAUUAUAGUAAUGAUGACAUAGAAUUAUGGAUCUUGGAAAUUCUUUGGAAUGAGGUUAAGUUUGAUAAAAGGCAAAGUAGAAAAUUACAUAUAUAAAUAUUUAUAGUAAUGUAAAAAUGCACAUAAAGAUGGGUAGAUCAUGGGAAUUUUAAAUUUGUGUUAUAAUUAGUGGAUGUUAUGCCUUAUCAGAUUUCCUAAUGUUUUGUAUUUCAGGUUGUAAUAUUAAAAUUCAAAUGCAAACAAAUAACAUAACUUACCUUUUAAAUUCAUCAGAUUCAUAUGAACUUAAAGUCAUGACAAAAACUGAAGUGAAUAAGAGCAAGGUUAUUAAGAAUAUGCUGGUAUUUCAGUUUUUAAAUUAGUGGUCCUUGGAUCACUUCUAGAGCACCUAGGGGCACAUAUUGUCACCUGGUCAUCUUUUUUUUAAAUUUGCUGGUGUCAUGAAAAUCUCUUAGAAGUUAUGGAAUAACAAUAAAAUUUGACCAAGACAAUUUCUGAUGCUGCUCUGCCCACCUGAUAGAUAGGGUUAUUGUCUGGACCAAAUGAGAGAAUGUUUAUGUAAGUACUUUUAAAAGUACAUGUGAAAAGCAGCAUAAUAAUUUUCAUCAUUACUCUGAAUACCUUCCAGAUUAGAUCUCUAAUUUGAUCUCAGUUAUUUAAUAAAGAAAUGUCAUUAAAUGAAAAAAAAUUUGAAGUUUUAUUGUAAUGUGGACUCACAUUGUUCUCUGUCCCUAAGGAAGACACUGAUGCUAAAAUGAACUAUUAUUUUAAAGACACUCGUCUUGGGAAACUCUCCUGCUGAGGAGGAAAUGCCCUGGUUCCAUUAUGAAAAUAGCAAAUUAACCUCAUCACUGUAUUUAACUACAGUAGUUCCCCUUUAUCCGUGGGGGACACCGCCCAAGACCCCCCAGCAGAUGCCUAAAACGGCAGGAGUACCAAACACUAUAUAUGUCUCUUCCUAUACACACAUACCUAUGAUAAAGUUUACUUUAUAAGUUAGGCAUAGUAAGAGGUUAACAGCAAUAAUAGUAAAAUUGAACAAUUAUAAUAAUAUACUGUAAUAAAAUGUUGUGCAUAUGGUAUCUCUCUCAAAAUAUCUUAUUGUGUGAACUGAACGCCUUUUCCAUCUGAAGUAUGCACUUAUCACACACACACAUUUGAAGUCUGAGGCUCGACAGCAAAACUAGCACGAGUUUCUCUCACCUUCUUCACAAUUUCACGGAUGGAGGGCUCGUUCUUAUCGUAGGUCUCAGCAACCUCAGCAUAGGAUUUCUUUCCUUCCUUAUUAAGUGGAGAACUUUCCCCUUUUUACUUAAAGGAAGGACUGUCAGGCUUCUCUCGGGCAUCUCUGAAUUGCCAGCAUCACCCCUCUUAUUUCGGGGUCACUGCUCAGGAAGAUAAGGGUCCCCGGAACGCAAGUACCGCGAUAUUAAGAUCGUGGCUCUGAUAACCCAGGGGCCAAUGAGUGACUAGGGGCGGGGUUCUCUGGGCAAAGGAGUGGUUCCCGCGUGGCCCCGGCAGCUGACCUCGCGAGACUUCAUCCCGGUACUCAGAAUGGCUCGCGGUUUAAAACUUCCCGCUGCGGAAACCCCGGGAAGCGAACACUGCGGAUACGGAGGGACUGCUGUACCUGAAUUGGCGGUAAGAGUGUGAAUGAAGUUGAGCUGAGUCGCUCACAUCCUUUCUCCAUACAGAAUUCAGUUUGGGGAGUGUGGUCGGCCGACUGCCUUUGAGCCAGGGUCACACUUUUCCCAGAAGGCUCGUGGACGGUGGGUGCCCAGCAAGGCUGGGGCACAGAGGCCUGUUCCCUUCCGCCCAGCUCGGAGCCUCUACCGCGCAGACCUCGCUCUGGAGCGCCCCGCGGGCUGGCAGACAUUGUGUCCGAUCUGCCUCCUCUGCAUCGUGGCCUGGCCGCUCUGAUUGCGCAAUCCCGAUUCCUCUUUUUCUCCUUCACAAAAUUCCUCUGCAGUCCUGCCUCCACGCCAGUGUCUGCUUCCCAGAGAACGCAGCUGACUCCCAGAGUAGCUCAAGAAAGCCAGCAGCAAAGACAUGGUCCCACGACUGGCUCACUGGCCACCAUUUGGGACUGAGGACACCAGCCCGAGCGCUCCGUGACCCAGGAGGAGCCCCAGCUGCUGGAAAGUUGCUGGUGGCGACUUGGGAGCCUCUUCUUGCAAAGGAAAUGUCAUGACUGAUGGAAGCAGUGCACAGGACAGUGGAUUUAGUGGUUGUCAUUAAGUCAUGUCACUGUCCUUUCUAAUGAAAAGCUAAUAGUAUUGAACAAAUAAUUGAAAAUCAAAUGUGAAAACCAGAGGGCCUCCUUGGUAGCCUAAAAGAGGCCAGUUUCCUCUCUCGGGAGAAGAGAAAAAAGCUGAAAACAAAACUAAGGAUUUAGACCAUAGUCACUGAUCUUCAAAGACAGUUGAAGGUUCAGCUGAAGCAGGUCUGUUACACCAAGCUCAGGGCCCUGAGAUCAGGGUAUCUGGGUAGAUGCCUCUUGAGAUUUUGAUUCCCCAGAUUUUUUUUGUUAUUAUUAUUCCUACACCUUAUUUGUCAGAGCACUUUUAGGUUCACAGCAAAAUUGAGUAGAAAGUACAGAGCUUCCACAUACGCUCAGCUCCCUGCUCGGGCACCCAGACUCUUUUGAAUGCUCUGAGCCUGCAGAGGUGACCCUCUCCUGCGAAGAACGGGCCCUGCUCCCACGGAGGGGGCCAGUGCAGCGCUCUCCACCACAAGCCUACAGGGGUUCUCUCAGGAUGUGCCCCAUCCCUUCUGUGGCUGCCAGGCCUAUAGGCGUGGUUGAGUCACAGCAUCACCCAGACGGGGACUUAUCAGACCUGCUAGAGGAAUAAGGGCCAAGGCCACAGAGGAACCACAGUCAUGUAGGAUGGCAGGAGACAGGGAGUCCUUGUGGGAUUGCAGUGGGAGGUUUCCUGAUCAAGGGGACUGGAAAAUAAGAUAUGACCAGGGAGAGUUUAUUGACCUGGAGCAUUCUCUUGUGAUAUGGGACUUAACACCCUGCCAAGAACCGCAGGGGAGGAUGCAGAGGUGGCCCCUAGCAGCCUGGAGAAAGCAGUGAUCCAUGUUGAACAGAACUGAAAUUCCUGAAUUGCUAUGGCAGAUUGUAGAGAACUGAUUAAAAGGCUCAGAGAAGUGGGCCUGCUAGAGUGGUAAUAUUUUUGUGAGGCCAGAAAAUCAUUCAGGUUUUUUUUCCUUCCACAGGAAGGCUCUGGACACUCAGAGGCUCACGAAUUAACCGGUUAAGAGGACAUCAGCUUCACUAGGAGUCAGUGGUGACUGUCGUGUGCAGACCAGGACUGAGGCUAGAAUUCUGCAUGGGACCUGGCUUCUGACAAACAGACCUAUUACAGGAGACCUAGAGGGAGGUGCCUGAGAAGAUGAGGCUGACCUCAGACCUCACUGCACGGACAUCCCAGUACCUGAGACACCGAGAAGGAAGCCUUUCGGCUAACAGGACACACAGAAACUUUGUCAAACUCUGUUGAAUCAUGACCCACUCUAACUCCUCAUAUUAUGUCUCAUCAGAGAAGGGAACGACAUGGGAAGCUGAUUUUGACACUUUGAUGUUCUUUAGCCAUGAGUCUCCCUUUAUUUCUACCAAAGGGCCAGAAAUAACAACUCCUUCAGGACUUUCAGUGCUCAAGAUCCCUGCUGUUUUCCUUAGAAUCAGAAUCAAAAGGCAUCAUUUGGCACGUAACCCAUGUAUAAUAUAAGCUAAUCCAUAAACAUGACAGCAUAAAUGAACCUGAGAUCCUACUGUCCUCUCCAUCACUGAUGGUUUCAGUAGGAUUUACUAUUCCACGUCCUCUCUUUUUCUGUUAAAUUGGGCAGAAACACCAGAUCAGAAUGAACAUUUUGGCACUGCUUACUUAGAAAUAUUUCAUGUGAAUUAAAAUUUUAGUACCGAAAUGAAUCAGAACACUGAUCGACUGUGGCACAUGGGAAUAUUUGCACACAUCGUGCAGGUGCAUCUUAAAUUGAAAUGCUCUUUGUUAAAACAGGCUGAUGACUCUAUCCUAAAGCAGUGGAAUCGGGUAAAAAUAAUGUGCAUCCUAAAUGGGAAUAAAUCAUGUAGGUAAAAUGUGGAGCUAGAUGGGAUAUACAAGAUUUACAUAGUACGUCUUUUUUUCUGUCAUUGUUUAUAAAUUAUCCAAGUUCAUUACAGAACUUGGUGGUUCAGAAAGACACCAGGGAGGAAGGGGGAAGGAAGCAGCUGGGAGAUCUAAUCCAUGUGAUGAAAAGGAAAGGCAAUUAAUGAGGAGAAAAGAACUCGGGAGAGAAAAGCUCAUACGGCAAGAUAAAAAGUAUAAGAGAGCAAGUAGUAGGCAGUAUAGAGAAAAUAUAGUACUUAAUUUUCAA
Molecule: long non-coding RNA, 10568 nt
Organism: Mesoplodon densirostris (Blainville's beaked whale)
Lineage: Eukaryota; Metazoa; Chordata; Mammalia; Artiodactyla; Ziphiidae
Exons: 3
Source: RefSeq, a predicted model, not a curated record